Molecule: non-coding RNA, 1339 nt
Organism: Zootermopsis nevadensis
Lineage: Eukaryota; Metazoa; Arthropoda; Insecta; Blattodea; Termopsidae
Source: RefSeq, a predicted model, not a curated record
CCGGAGGUAGUUUCCAUUCUAUCAUGGUUCUUGUAAUUCUGUGAUUCCAUCCUGGUCUCGGUCUCCCUCUCUUCCUUCCCUCUUUUGAUUGCCAUUUCAUAGUCUUCUUUGGCAACCUUUUCUCCUCCAUCCCUUGCACGUGUCCGUACCAAAUCAGUUGUCUUUUCUCUAUCUCCUGAAUUAUAUCUUGAUCCAUCCUCAUGAUUUCUCUAAUUCUUUCGUUUCUCACUCUCUCUCUUCUGGAAAUUCCAGCCGCUCUUCUUAGGAAAUCCAUUUCCAUUAUUCUCAACUUAUUUUGUUGUUGUUCCGAGAGUUGCCAAAUUUCUGCUCCAUAAAGGGCCACGCUUUGUAUCAUCGUUUUAUAUAUUCUCUCUUUCGUUCUUUUUGUGAUAUUUUCAUCCCAUAAUAUUGGGUUUAGGGCUCCUAAGAGUCUCCUUCCCUGUCUAACAUUACUUCUGUAGUGGGAAAAAUGCCUCUGCUAUUUCAAGAUUAUGACGGCGGUAUAGCCGAUACUUGUGUUGCGGAAGAAAUUUUAUGAAAAUACAGGUUAAGUUACGUAUAACUGUGACUUUCAGUGAUAGGUACACUACAGCAUAUUUUGAGGGUUUUUCUGUUUCAGCAAAGUUGCCAUCUUUGGGGUGAUUGUAUUCUGUAAGUCUUAUGCAGACCAGGCAGUAGAUGGUGAGAGGCAUGUGAUGGGUCUCAUUACCAGAACAGAGGAGCAAGCUGCUAUCCAGUCAGUAUCAAGCGCAUGGAUGAGGAGAAACCUUAAGGAUAAGAGGUCACGAUAGAAGUGUUUAGUGACCAUGUGAUUCGAAAAGGAGGCGAUGAAAAACUUUUAGAGCCUACAUGAAUAGGAUAAGAUGCGAUUGAAAAAAAAUCACCCUGAAGACGACAACUGCAGUGUUUACCAAAAUGUUGGAAAAUAUUCAAAAUUUGACACAGUUUAUCCCUGAAAGCUGAUGUUAUACAUUUAACUCCAACUGUGAAAGCCUAUGGAUAAGAAUUAGGUCUUCCAUGUCAACACAUGUUGUGUAGUUGGACCAGCUGAGGCCUGAUUCAGGGUGUCGAAACCAGUUGCCAUCUUCCAUGCAGUGCCGGAAUGCUAACCCUGAAAUUGGUAUAUGUUAUGGCACAGUGGCUAUGUUGCGUGAUGAAAUGCUGCUGGUAUAACGUGUACGGAAGCAACCCCAUUGUAAGGGUAACGAGUGUGGAGGCGGCUAUUUUCUGGGAUGUUUCACCAUGUAGUCUGGUAGAUACCGACCAACCUUUCAGAGGAACAUACUGUAUGAUGAGGAAUAUAAGCUCAUACUUCUUACCUGGUAAUGUGACGUGGUUC